CAGCCGCCGCGGUAAUACGUAGGUGGCAAGCGUUGUCCGGAAUUAUUGGGCGUAAAGGGCUCGCAGGCGGUUUCUUAAGUCUGAUGUGAAAGCCCCCGGCUCAACCGGGGAGGGCCAUUGGAAACUGGGAAACUUGAGUGCAGAAGAGGAGAGUGGAAUUCCACGUGUAGCGGUGAAAUGCGUAGAGAUGUGGAGGAACACCAGUGGCGAAGGCGACUCUCUGGUCUGUAACUGACGCUGAGGAGCGAAAGCGUGGGGAGCGAACAGGAUUAGAUACCCCCGUAGUCCCUGUCUCUUAUAC
This 301-nucleotide ribosomal RNA is filed under the name uncultured bacterium. Its description in RNAcentral is "partial 16S ribosomal RNA". It matches the Rfam family "Bacterial small subunit ribosomal RNA", at positions 509 to 807 of the family's 1533-position model. The record is from RNAcentral.